GCCGCGGUGGCGGAAUUGGCAGACGCGCUGGACUUAGAAUCCAGUCUCGCAAGAGGUGGGAGUUCGACUCUCCCCCGCGGCA
This 82-nucleotide transfer RNA is filed under the name Candidatus Omnitrophota bacterium. Its description in RNAcentral is "tRNA-Leu". It matches the Rfam family "tRNA". Rfam says of the family: Transfer RNA (tRNA) molecules are approximately 80 nucleotides in length. Their secondary structure includes four short double-helical elements and three loops (D, anti-codon, and T loops). The record is from RNAcentral. Lineage: Bacteria; Pseudomonadati; Candidatus Omnitrophota.